This is an RNA transcript of Leptopilina boulardi, 3591 nucleotides long. It is a transcript of the gene named probable tRNA (guanine(26)-N(2))-dimethyltransferase, with no coding region annotated. The record is from RefSeq and is a predicted model, not a curated record. The transcript has 3 exons. NCBI's taxonomy places the organism in Eukaryota, Metazoa, Arthropoda, Insecta, Hymenoptera, Figitidae.
UUUAUUAUUUAUCUUUAUAUUAAUUUGUGAUUAUUUUCUUUGUAAUGUCUGUAAACGAAGUUGAUACUGCUCGACAAAGCCGUACUAAUUGCAAAUCAAAAUUAACAAAAUUUAAUACAUUUCUUGAAAAAUGUUCAAUUGACGAAAACGCGGGUACUGUCGAGGAGAUUAAACUACGUUUACAAAAAAUUGAGGAACAUUUUGUAAACAAUGUAACACGUGACAAUAAAGGUAAAUAUAUAGUGAGACUUCCGUUUAAUGAAAAUAAAAAUAAUUUAGGAAAUUCAUAUGAAAUAGCUCGGAAAAGAUUUUUUAUGCUCGAAAGAAAAUUAUCUAAAGACCCUAAAUUAAAACAAAAAUAUACAAAUUUUAUGGAAGAAUACGAACACUUGAAUCAUAUGAAACAAAUAAUUGCGGAUAAAUCGGAAGGAUAUUAUUUACCACACCAAGCUGUUCUGAAGAUGAUAGAUAAUAUUAGUAAGUUUCGAGUAGUUUUUGACGCAUCAUGUCAGACAGAUACUGGUUUGUCGUUAAACGACACCUUGAUGACAGGGCCAACUAUCCAAGAUAACAUAGUAGCAUUAAUGUUGAGAUUUCGACAGCAUGUGAUUGCCUUGAGUGGAGAUAUUGAAAAAAUGUAUCGCCAAUUUUUUAUACAUCCCCAAGAUAGAAAAUUCCAGAAAAUUUUGUGGCGAUAUAAUGAGAAUGAACCUAUCAGAACGUACGAACUGAACACCGUGACAUAUGGAACUUCUGCGGCACCAUUUUUGGCAAUUCGUUGUUUGAAAGAAUUGGCAAAUAAUGAAGGUCGUGCAUUUCCAAUCGCUGCCGAAGUAUUAAAGAAUGAUUUUUAUGUGGAUGACUGCCUCACGGGAGCCGACACUGUAAGCGAAGUACAACAAAUAAAAGAAGGACUAAUUGAGUUGACAACAAAAGCAGGACUUCGUAUUUGCAAGUGGAGGUCAAAUCAUCAAGAAAUUGCUCAAAAUUCAGGGGAUUCAGAAGUAUUAACAAAUGAUGUGGAUCAAAGUUCAAAGACACUUGGAGUGAUGUGGAACUCUCAAAAGGAUACAUUGCAUUUUAACGUGCAACCAACGUUGGAUCAAAAACCCACUACAAAACGAAUCAUGCUUUCACAAAUUGGUAAGAUGCUUUAUGAUCCGCUAGGAUUAAUGGCACCAGUCACAGUUGUGGCAAAAAUAAAAAUGCAAGAACUUUGGAAAACUAAUAAUUCAUGGGACGAUCCAAUACCAACUAAAUUAUUAGUGGAAUUUGAGCAAUUUCAAGGUCAACUUGGUGAAUUGAGCAAUUGGGAAAUCGAGAGAGCGGUUAGAAGUCAACCAUCAGACGAGACUCAAAUCCAUGGCUUUGCAGACGCCAGUCAGAAAGCGUAUGGCGCAUGCGUUUACAUCAGGUGUUCGAAUGAGGGAAAACAUCGUACAAUAUUACUAUGUGCGAAAUCAAAGGUUGCACCAUUGAAGACAGUUACAUUGCCAAGAUUGGAACUUUGUGCGGCAGUAUUAUUGUCAAAGUUAAUAAUCACUGUCAAAAAUGCAAUAAAAUUUAAUGUAAAUGCAAUACACCUUUGGUCGGAUUCAACUAUAGUAUUGAAUUGGAUUGCAUCUUCUCCUCAUGAGUUCAGCACAUUCAUAGCCAACCGUAUUGCCGAAAUUCAAACUCUUACAAGACCUGAAUGUUGGAAACACGUCAUCUCACAGGAUAACCCCGCAGAUUUUGUAUCUAGGGGUCAAAUGCCUGCAGAAUUUGUAUCAAACAAGUUAUGGAAAAAUGGUCCAACGUGGUUGGAAUUGUCGGAAGAAAAUUGGCCCAGUCAUCACUUCAUUCAAACGGAAUUGCCUGAAAGAAAAAAAAGCGUGGCGCUAACUAUAAAGAAUGUAAAAACAUCAAUUAAUUUAUGGUCUCGAUUUUCAUCCCUCAGAAAAUUGAUCCAUGUAGUGGCAUAUUGUUUACGAAUAGCAGAAAGAGCACGCGGUAAAACCAAAUUUUCCGAGAUAUUAACACCAGCAGAGAUUCAGUCAGCAUUUAAUCGAAUUGUUUCACUGGUCCAGAUGGAAGAGUUCUACAAUGAAAUUAAUCAACUGUCAAAGAAUGAAUGUCUAUCAAGCCGGUCAAAAAUACUUCGACUUAAUCCUGUAAUGCACGAAAAAAUUUUAAGAGUGGGGGGAAGAAUAAAGAGAGCAGAAUUGCCCUAUGAUCAACGACACCCUAUGUUGCUGCCAAAAAAUCAUCCUGUUACAGAAUUAAUCAUCCGCGAUAUUCAUGAGCAAAAUAUGCAUGCUGGCAAUAAUGCAACACUGUAUGCAUUGAGAAUGAAAUUUUGGCCAAUCGAUGGUAGGUUGGCAGUGCGCAAGGUCAUAAAUAAAUGCGUAAAAUGUUUUCGAGCUCAGCCUAAAGAAGUAUCUUAUCAAAUGGGAAAUUUGCCUGCAGUGCGCGUGACUGCCACUCGCGUUUUCGAAAAUACAGGUAUGGAUUACUGCGGUCCAUUUUAUAUUAAAGAAAAAAAGUACAGGAAUCGAAAUAAAAUUAAAGUGUACGCGGCCGUAUUUGUGUGUAUGAGCACUAAAGCGAUCCAUAUAGAAUUGGUAAGCGACUUAUCAACAGAAUGUUUUUUAGCAAGUUUACGACGAUUCUUCGCAAGAAGAGGAAAAUCUAAAGCAUUGUAUUCGGAUAAUGGUACUAAUUUUGUAGGCGCUAGAAAUGAGUUGAGUGAUCUUUACCGUCUCCUCAACACAGAUGAACAUAAUAAAAUUAUAUCUCGAAAAUUGGCAGAUCAGAAUAUUGAAUGGUAUUUUUCGCCCCCGCGAACUCCGCAUUUUGGCGGUAUCUGGGAGGCGGCGGUGAAGUCGCUCAAACAUCAUUUACGGCGAACAAUUGGCGAAACAUUGUUGACAUUCGAAGAGCUUGGAACAUAUAUGUGUGAAAUCGAAGCAAUUGUAAAUUCACGACCUCUUACUCCGAUGACUAUGGACCCUAAUGAUGUAAGCGUAUUAACUCCAGGUCAUUUUUUAAUAGGAGAGCCUUUGACAACGAUUCCUGCUUGGGACUAUACUCAAACUCCUGUAAAUCGAUUAUCACGAUGGGAAUGUUUACAAAAAAUGAAACGCGAUUUAUGGAAACGUUGGUCGCGCGAAUAUUUAAAUGAGCUUAAUGUUCGCUCAAAAUGGCAUUCGGGAUCACCAGAAGUGAUAAAAGAGGGAACUUUGGUUAUUUUAAGGGAUGACAAUUUGCCGCCGUUAAGAUGGAGUUUGGGUAGAGUAUCUCAAAUAUAUCCAGGAGAUGAUGGUGUGAUACGUGUGGUAAAGACGAAGUAUAUUUUUGAUAAAAAGUAUGGAUAAACCUGUAGAAUUAAGAGAAAAUGAUAAAAAUAUAAUUAGAGAAGGAAAGGCAGAAAUUCUAGUUGAAGGAAAAAAUGUUUUUUAUAAUCAUGUUCAAGAAUUCAAUCGAGAUUUAAGUAUCGCAGUUUUGUCAUUAUUUGCCGAAGAUUAUAAUUCUGAAUUGAGAACUAAUAAAAAAGUGGGAAAAAAAACUUUAAUAAUCGAGGAUAAGACUUCAUGUGAAGGGGAAACAAAU